This 470-nucleotide ribosomal RNA is filed under the name uncultured bacterium. RNAcentral's name for it is "bacterial SSU rRNA". It matches the Rfam family "Bacterial small subunit ribosomal RNA", at positions 335 to 802 of the family's 1533-position model. The record is from RNAcentral.
ACUCCUACGGGAGGCAGCAGUGGGGAAUAUUGCACAAUGGGCGCAAGCCUGAUGCAGCCAUGCCGCGUGUGUGAAGAAGGCCUUCGGGUUGUAAAGCACUUUCAGUCGUGAGGAAGGUAGUGUAGUUAAUAGCUGCAUUAUUUGUACGUUAGCGACAGAAGAAGCACCGGCUAACUCCGUGCCAGCAGCCGCGGUAAUACGGAGGGUGCGAGCGUUAAUCGGAAUUACUGGGCGUAAAGCGCAUGCAGGUGGUUGUUAAGUCAGAUGUGAAAGCCCGGGGCUCAACCUCGGAAUAGCAUUUGAAACUGGCAGACUAGAGUACUGUAGAGGGGGUAGGAAUUUCAGGUGUAGCGGUGAAAUGCGUAGAGAUCUGAAGGAUACCGGUGGCGAAGCGGCCCCUGGACAGAUACUGACACUCAGAUGCGAAAGCGUGGGAGCAAACAGGAUUAGAUACCCCUGGUAGACUGUCA